CUCACCCUGUUGGGCUCCCCUCCCAGUGCAGAGCCUGAAAUCCAAGAGUAAACAGAUCCUUUUCAUCUAGAGGAAGAACACCAACAUGGUGCUGCCCAGGCUGCUGAAGCUGGUCAUGGUGUCUGUGUGGCUGGGAUCCAGUUUUGCCCAGAAUGUGACUCAGGCCCAGCCAGCCAUGUGGGUGCAGGAGAAGGAGGCUGUGAGCCUGCUCUGCUCCUAUGACACCAGUACUGUAAGUUACGAUCUCCUCUGGUACAAGCAGCCCAGCAGUGGGGAGAUGGACUUCCUCAUCCUUCAGAACUCUUACAGCCAGCAAAAUGCCACAAAAGGUCGCUACUCAGUGAAUUUGCAGAAGGCAAGCAAAUCCAUCCAGCUUGUCAUCUCAGCCUCACAGCUGGGGGACUCAGCGGUGUAUUUCUGUGCACUGAGAGAGGGCACAGUGGGAGGACUGUUGGAGGGAGGUGCACAAAAACCCAGGGUCUGCCUGAGACAGCCACCUGCUGUAGGGACCAAGGCAGGGAAUGGCCACCCCAGAUAG
Non-coding RNA from Marmota monax (woodchuck), 538 nucleotides. The record is from the annotation of a RefSeq genome assembly. Lineage: Eukaryota; Metazoa; Chordata; Mammalia; Rodentia; Sciuridae.